Molecule: long non-coding RNA, 1612 nt
Filed under: Exaiptasia diaphana
Lineage: Eukaryota; Metazoa; Cnidaria; Anthozoa; Actiniaria; Aiptasiidae
Description: uncharacterized LOC110241238
Source: RNAcentral
UUGAAUGUAUUGCUAACGAUAGCUUGUUGAGUUGUUUAAAGCUUGAAGCAUUUCAGCAGGAAANAACAAUUGGUGAGGUUUUUGAAGAGAAACAAGGAGAACAUUAGAAUCAGAGUCGAAUGAAGAAAAGGCCUAAAGGAUAACCAACAUGCGCGCUUAUCUGUGGUGCACUUUUUUUAUUGUCCUUUUGAUCAUACAAUUAAUACAUGCAGGAGAUAGUGAAGAGGAAGAAUCAACUGCCAGAUCCGCCAUACCUAAAAGGAAAAGAGGUGGGCGUCACCGUCGACACCAUCAACUAAACUCACACGACCGCCGGGCAUUACGUCAUAGAUACAACUCCGUCCUUGCCAUUGGUGUUGGUCUAGGGGUCGCGGGGGGCUGGAUCUGCAUAGCAACCCUUGUUUACGUCGUUCGAUAUUUCAGAGUAAAAAAAAUCGAAGACAAAAGAAAGAAACCACAGGGCGAAGAUUUAUUGUAAAUUGCCGAAUAAUGAUGAACUGGAAUUGUCUUAAAAUAGAAACUGCAAAACGUANACAUCUUGCCGAACACAGAGCACCGUACGUAAAGAUCACCGUUGGAUAUCUNNGGAAACGUCAAACAUUUUACGGAAGCUGCCUUGCGUUGCGGCAAACAAGGAAAGAAGCCAGGAUAUCGANAAAGUCACUUAGAAUGAAAAACUAGAGGUUUCAAAACAAGUUAUAGUCGUUUUUAUACCACAUAAUUUUGUUUGUCAUAACUAGGUCUUUGUGUACCCACAAAAACUAUUCUAUUCGUUAAUAAGUUCUUUUUUGCAAUAUGUAGGUUUAUUUUUUGCCUUAUUGCAAGAAGCUUUUGAUUUCUAAUGAAUGACAUGUUCUACGCAAGGCCGCAGAACGAAACUGCGGACAAAUAGCGCGCCAUUAGAUCAUAAAAAACUUAGUUUUUCAAAAAUAACUUAUUGAGGAAAAACACAUAUUUUGUAUAAUAUAGAUAAUUAGAAUAACAACGACGUUAGAAUNAUUUCUAAUGAGAUAAAUGACGUCUGCUGACAAGUAGACUAUCGACUGGCAUAUUUACCUCAUUCUUGCUAUGGUCUUCCUGUGGUACUCUNGGCCACAGGUAACCCAAUGAAGAUUUUAAAAUGAAGAAAUGAGGUCUAUGUUAGUUGAUGAANCAAAAAGCCAAAAUUAUAUGUAUUACCAUUGUAUUGGCUAAUAUUCUCUAUUUUAUANAGUGAUUUACGUAUCAUAAAAUACUUUAUAAAAAAUUCAUAUUAUCAUUUGAUUAAAUAUAAAGAAACAUGUCAUUGAUAAUUUACCUAAUUGAGAAAACGCAUCGGGUCCAAAAAGGAUACAUUAUCAAAGCUACUAAUGAAAGGGAACAUGAGAAGAAAAUCUUUUAAAAAUAUAUAUCACUGUUUUCAGUUCCAAAAGAUUGCCUAAACUGAAUAUAAUGACAUUCUCCAAUAAUAUAAAUUUUGUAUAAACUCAGCGAAUGGUUUAGGAGACGUCAGGUAGAGCUGUUGGCAUGCACGUAGUUUAUUUGGAGAGAAUAACUAUGACGUCACUUAUUAGAUUAUAUUCAAUCUAUGACAGAUGGUACUGCAACGUCAAAUAAAAAUUUCCAGUAAAAA